RNAcentral lists this ribosomal RNA (429 nucleotides) under uncultured bacterium. RNAcentral's name for it is "bacterial SSU rRNA". It matches the Rfam family "Bacterial small subunit ribosomal RNA", at positions 355 to 776 of the family's 1533-position model. The record is from RNAcentral.
UUAGGAAUAUUCGUCAAUGGGGGAAACCCUGAACGAGCAAUGCCGCGUGAAGGAUGACGGUCCUAUGGAUUGUAAACUUCUGUUGUUAGGGAAGAACGACCAGUAUAGGAAAUGAUACUGGAGUGACGGUACCUUUCAAGAAAGCUCCGGCUAACUACGUGCCAGCAGCCGCGGUAAUACGUAGGGAGCGAGCGUUAUCCGGAUUUAUUGGGUGUAAAGGGUGCGUAGGCGGUUUAUUAAGUCUGUUGUUUAAGUCCGAAGCUUAACUUCGGUUCGCAAUGGAAACUGAUUUACUUGAGUAUAGUAGAGGCAAGUGGAAUUUCUAGUGUAGCGGUUAAAUGCGUAGAUAUUAGAAGGAACACCAGUGGCGAAGGCGACUUGCUGGGCUAUUACUGACGCUGAGGCACGAAAGCGUGGGGAGCAAAUAGG